RNAcentral lists this ribosomal RNA (453 nucleotides) under uncultured bacterium. Its description in RNAcentral is "partial 16S ribosomal RNA". It matches the Rfam family "Bacterial small subunit ribosomal RNA", at positions 341 to 792 of the family's 1533-position model. The record is from RNAcentral.
ACGGAAGGCAGCAGUGAGGAAUAUUGGUCAAUGGGCGGAAGCCUGAACCAGCCAAGUCGCGUGAAGGAUGAAGGUAUUAUGUAUUGUAAACUUCUUUAGCCAGGGGGCAAUAAGGCGUAUGUAUACGCCGAUGAGAGUACCUGGAGAAUAAGGAUCGGCUAACUCCGUGCCAGCAGCCGCGGUAAUACGGAGGAUCCGAGCGUUAUCCGGAUUUAUUGGGUUUAAAGGGUGCGCAGGCGGCUUUUUAAGUCAGUGGUUAAAUCGUGACGCUCAACGUCAUCACGCCAUUGAUACUGGAGAGCUUGAUUGCGGUCGAGGUUUGCGGAAUCCGUCGUGUAGCGGUGAAAUGCAUAGAUAUGACGAAGAACACCGAUUGCGUAGGCAGCAGACCAGGCCGUAAAUGACGCUCAUGCACGAAAGUGCGGGUAUCAAACAGGAUUAGAUACCCUGGUA